AGCUCCAAUAGCGUAUACUAAAGUUGUUGCAGUUAAAAAGCUCGUAGUUGAAUUUCUGACUUGGCGGUGCGGCCGGCCCCGUGUGGGUCGUUGCUAGUGCCGCGAGGUCAUCCUCGGGGAAUGCGUGUCUGUCAUUCAGUUGAUGGGCACGAGUACCCCGUCAUUUACUGUGAGCAAAAUAGCGUGUUCAAAGCAGGCUUACGCCGUUGAAUACAUUAGCAUGGAAUAAUAAGAUAGGACCUUGGUCUAUUUUGUUGGUUAGUACUCCAAGGUAAUGAUUAAUAGGGACAGUUGGGGGUAUUCGUAUUCAAUUGUCAGAGGUGAAAUUCUUGGAUUUAUGGAAGACGAACUACUGCGAAAGCAUUUACCAAGGAUGUUUUCA
This 382-nucleotide ribosomal RNA is filed under the name uncultured eukaryote. Its description in RNAcentral is "SSU rRNA". It matches the Rfam family "Eukaryotic small subunit ribosomal RNA", at positions 587 to 972 of the family's 1831-position model. The record is from RNAcentral.